GUAGGGAAUCUUGCGCAAUGGGCGAAAGCCUGACGCAGCCAUGCCGCGUGAAUGAUGAAGGUCUUAGGAUUGUAAAAUUCUUUCACCGGGGACGAUAAUGACGGUAUCCGGAGAAGAAGCUCCGGCUAACUUCGUGCCAGCAGCCGCGGUAAUACGAAGGGGGCUAGCGUUGCUCGGAAUUACUGGGCGUAAAGGGCGCGUAGGCGGAUAUUUAAGUCGGGGGUGAAAGCCCGGGGCUCAACCUCGGAAUAGCCUUCGAUACUGGAUAUCUUGAGUACGGGAGAGGUGUGUGGAACUCCGAGUGUAGAGGUGAAAUUCGUAGAUAUUCGGAAGAACACCAGUGGCGAAGGCGACACACUGGCCCGUUACUGACGCUGAGGCGCGAAAGCGUGGGGAGCAAACAGGAUUAGAUACCCGGGUAGUCC
Molecule: ribosomal RNA, 425 nt
Filed under: uncultured bacterium
Lineage: Bacteria
Description: partial 16S ribosomal RNA
Rfam family: Bacterial small subunit ribosomal RNA
Source: RNAcentral